AGCGAACAGACGAGGAGCUUGCUCCUCUGACGUUAGCGGCGGACGGGUGAGUAACACGUGGAUAACCUACCUAUAAGACUGGGAUAACUUCGGGAAACCGGAGCUAAUACCGGAUAAUAUAUUGAACCGCAUGGUUCAAUAGUGAAAGACGGUUUUGCUGUCACUUAUAGAUGGAUCCGCGCCGCAUUAGCUAGUUGGUAAGGUAACGGCUUACCAAGGCAACGAUGCGUAGCCGACCUGAGAGGGUGAUCGGCCACACUGGAACUGAGACACGGUCCAGACUCCUACGGGAGGCAGCAGUAGGGAAUCUUCCGCAAUGGGCGAAAGCUUGACGGAGCAACGCCGCGUGAGUGAUGAAGGUCUUCGGAUCGUAAAACUCUGUUAUUAGGGAAGAACAAAUGUGUAAGUAACUAUGCACGUCUUGACGGUACCUAAUCAGAAAGCCACGGCUAACUACGUGCCAGCAGCCGCGGUAAUACGUAGGUGGCAAGCGUUAUCCGGAAUUAUUGGGCGUAAAGCGCGCGUAGGCGGUUUUUUAAGUCUGAUGUGAAAGCCCACGGCUCAACCGUGGAGGGUCAUUGGAAACUGGAAAACUUGAGUGCAGAAGAGGAAAGUGGAAUUCCAUGUGUAGCGGUGAAAUGCGCAGAGAUAUGGAGGAACACCAGUGGCGAAGGCGACUUUCUGGUCUGUAACUGACGCUGAUGUGCGAAAGCGUGGGGAUCAAACAGGA
This 730-nucleotide ribosomal RNA is filed under the name uncultured Staphylococcus sp. RNAcentral describes it as "bacterial SSU rRNA". It matches the Rfam family "Bacterial small subunit ribosomal RNA", at positions 65 to 777 of the family's 1533-position model. The record is from RNAcentral. Lineage: Bacteria; Bacillati; Bacillota; Bacilli; Caryophanales; Staphylococcaceae.